UAGCGGCGGACGGGUGAGUAACACGUGGGUAACCUGCCUCAAAGUGGGGGAUAGCCUUCCGAAAGGAAGAUUAAUACCGCAUAACAUGAGAGAAUCGCAUGAUUUUCUUAUCAAAGAUUUAUUGCUUUGAGAUGGACCCGCGGCGCAUUAGCUAGUUGGUAAGGUAACGGCUUACCAAGGCAACGAUGCGUAGCCGACCUGAGAGGGUGAUCGGCCACAUUGGAACUGAGACACGGUCCAGACUCCUACGGGAGGCAGCAGUGGGGAAUAUUGCGCAAUGGGGGAAACCCUGACGCAGCAACGCCGCGUGGGUGAUGAAGGUCUUCGGAUUGUAAAGCCCUGUUUUCUGGGACGAUAAUGACGGUACCAGAGGAGGAAGCCACGGCUAACUACGUGCCAGCAGCCGCGGUAAUACGUAGGUGGCGAGCGUUGUCCGGAUUUACUGGGCGUAAAGGGUGCGUAGGCGGAUGUUUAAGUGGGAUGUGAAAUCCCCGGGCUUAACCUGGGGGCUGCAUUCCAAACUGGAUAUCUAGAGUGCAGGAGAGGAAAGCGGAAUUCCUAGUGUAGCGGUGAAAUGCGUAGAGAUUAGGAAGAACACCAGUGGCGAAGGCGGCUUUCUGGACUGUAACUGACGCUGAGGCACG
RNAcentral lists this ribosomal RNA (644 nucleotides) under bacterium enrichment culture. RNAcentral describes it as "bacterial SSU rRNA". It matches the Rfam family "Bacterial small subunit ribosomal RNA", at positions 93 to 755 of the family's 1533-position model. The record is from RNAcentral.